Molecule: long non-coding RNA, 542 nt
Filed under: Daucus carota (carrot)
Lineage: Eukaryota; Viridiplantae; Streptophyta; Magnoliopsida; Apiales; Apiaceae
Description: long non-coding RNA (DCAR_LNC004109)
Source: RNAcentral
UAAAAAGAAAAAACAAAGGGUGGGCCCACAUUAUUACACGAUCUAUCUCACUGCAUCUCAUCAUGUCCAAAUUCUCAGCUGGUAAAGUAACUAGUACAGCUCUGUCUUACUGUAUGUCUGUAUCUAUAUCUGUAUGUAUAUCUCUGUUAAAUUUAACAAUCAACUUAAUUAAUCAGCCUAUCCUUACAUUCUCUUCUCUUCUCUUCUAUUUACAUAAACAAUUACUAGUAAAGAUCCCAUCUUUAUUUGUUUUGUUGCUUUCUUGAUUUAUGAACCCUAGUUUCUGUUUCAAGAUGCAGCCCAGAUCCUGAUUUAUAUGAAGACAUAUGUGUUGUAGACUUGCGGUGCUUGUUCUAUUGAUUUCAAGAUGUGGGUCAGAUCCUAAAAUUUGAUUACUUGUGAGUUGCAAUUUACUCUACUAAGUGUUUGAUGGAUUCCCCUCUGUUAGCUACUCUAGUUUUAGUUGUUCUGGGCAUUUUUAAUCUGCUUGCUGAUUCGCAAUCGAUAUCGAAUCUAGUCCCACCAUUUCCCCCUCCCCCNNN